RNAcentral lists this ribosomal RNA (544 nucleotides) under uncultured bacterium. RNAcentral's name for it is "bacterial SSU rRNA". It matches the Rfam family "Bacterial small subunit ribosomal RNA", at positions 355 to 917 of the family's 1533-position model. The record is from RNAcentral.
CGGGGCAUGCCAUGGGCGGAGCCUGAUGCAGCACGCCGCGUGCGGGAUGACGGCCUUCGGGUUGUAAACCGCUUUCGCCUGUGACGAAGCGUGAGUGACGGUAAUGGGUAAAGAAGCACCGGCUAACUACGUGCCAGCAGCCGCGGUGAUACGUAGGGUGCGAGCGUUGUCCGGAUUUAUUGGGCGUAAAGGGCUCGUAGGUGGUUGAUCGCGUCGGAAGUGUAAUCUUGGGGCUUAACCCUGAGCGUGCUUUCGAUACGGGUUGACUUGAGGAAGGUAGGGGAGAAUGGAAUUCCUGGUGGAGCGGUGGAAUGCGCAAAUAUCAGGAGGAACACCAGUGGCGAAGGCGGUUCUCUGGGCCUUUCCUGACGCUAAGGAGCGAAAGCGUGGGGAGCGAACAGGCUUAAAUACCCUGGUAGUCCACGCUGUAAACGGUGGGUACUAGGUGUGGGGUCCAUUCCACGGGUUCCGUGCCGUAGCUAACGCUUUAAGUACCCCGCCUGGGGAGUACGGCCGCAAGGCUAAAACUCAAGAAAUUGACGGA